AACGAACGCUGGCGGCAGGCCGAACACAUGGAAGUCGAACGAUUGCCUUCGGGUGAUAGUGGCGAAUGGGUGAGUAACGAGUGGGAAUUUGAUCUUAGGUUUGGAAUAACAGAUGGAAACGGCUGCUAAUACCGGAUGAUAUCGCGAGAUCAAAGAUUUAUCGCCUGAGGAUGAGCCCGCGUUGGAUUAGGUAGUUGGUGGGGUAAAGGCCUACCAAGCCGACGAUCCAUAGCUGGUCUGAGAGGAUGAUCAGCCACACUGGGACUGAGACACGGCCCAGACUCCUACGGGAGGCAGCAGUGGGGAAUAUUGGACAAUGGGCGCAAGCCUGAUCCAGCAAUGCCGCGUGAGUGAUGAACGCCCUAGAGUUGUAAAGCUCUUUUACCCGGGAAGAUAAUGACUGUACCGGGAGAAUAAGCCCCGGCUCCCUCCGUC
RNAcentral lists this ribosomal RNA (435 nucleotides) under uncultured bacterium. RNAcentral's name for it is "partial 16S ribosomal RNA". It matches the Rfam family "Bacterial small subunit ribosomal RNA", at positions 29 to 507 of the family's 1533-position model. The record is from RNAcentral.